This 231-nucleotide long non-coding RNA is filed under the name Phoenix dactylifera (date palm). RNAcentral describes it as "long non-coding RNA (PDAC_LNC002065)". Lineage: Eukaryota; Viridiplantae; Streptophyta; Magnoliopsida; Arecales; Arecaceae. The record is from RNAcentral.
UUGUGUUGCCUGGGAGGUGACAGGGGAAUUUGUCCUCUUUUGUAAUAAUUGGGCACGAUUUGGCCCAUUAAUGGCGUAGUGGAGAAUAAGGCCGGAUCAGACCGGAGUCAGGGAGUUGUCGCGGUUGAUCGGACCCAUUGGAGUGGUUGAACCGUCGGCCGUAGUGGGCCUGGGGUUCGUGGAUGGUAAGUGCAUUUAUUACCGAGUGAACCGGCGGUCAGGGAGAGCCAU